This 253-nucleotide ribosomal RNA is filed under the name uncultured bacterium. Its description in RNAcentral is "partial 16S ribosomal RNA". It matches the Rfam family "Bacterial small subunit ribosomal RNA", at positions 524 to 776 of the family's 1533-position model. The record is from RNAcentral.
GACGAAGGAUGCAAGCGUUAUCCGGAUUCAUUGGGUUUAAAGGGUGCGUAGGCGGACUUGUAAGUCAGUGGUGAAAUCUCUUUGCUUAACAAAGAAACUGCCAUUGAUACUGCAGGUCUAGGGUAUAGAUGACGUUGGCGGAAUAUGACAUGUAGUGGUGAAAUACUUAGAUAUGUCACAGAACACCGAUAGCGAAGGCAGCUCACUAGGUCUGGAUUGACGCUCAGGGACGAAAGCGUGGGGAGCAAACAGG